Molecule: long non-coding RNA, 562 nt
Organism: Trichomycterus rosablanca
Lineage: Eukaryota; Metazoa; Chordata; Actinopteri; Siluriformes; Trichomycteridae
Exons: 2
Source: RefSeq, a predicted model, not a curated record
UUGUAUUUUGUUUUUCUCCGUUUUCUUUAGUUUCCCCGAUCGCUUUUGUUCUUGGUGGUGGUUUGCGUUUGUUUUCCCGUUUUGCUCCCUUCUCCCCCUAGCGGCCUGGAGCGGUACUGUUUUCGGAGGUUGCUGCGGUUCCAGCCAAUAGAUCGCUGGAGGGCGGACCCCACACACACCUGCGCCUCAUUCCUCAUCUCAUCAACUCCUGCAUUUAAACGCCGGCUUUUCUCUCACUCGUCGCCAGAUUGUCUGCUUGCCAUACGACCUUCCCCCCGUUCCUGCGUUCCUGCCGUUCCUGGUUCUCCUGUGUUCCUGCCGUUCCUGGUUCUCCUGUAUUCCUGCCGUUCUUGGUUCUCCUGCGUUCCUGCCAUUCCUGGUUCUCCUGCCAUUCCUGGUCAUCCUGCAUUCCGGUUCAUCACUCCUGGUCAUCAGUCCGCCCUGCAGUUCCCCGGCGCUUCCAGUACCGCUCCUGCCGCUCCCCUCUCGUUUUCUGUUAUCUUUUUGGUUGUUUGUUUUGGUCGUUUAUUUAUUAUUUGUUUAAAUAAAUAUCGUAUUAUCA